UACGUAGGGGGCAAGCGUUGUCCGGAAUCAUUGGGCGUAAAGAGCGUGUAGGCGGCCCGAUAAGUCCGCUGUGAAAGUCCAGGGCUCAACCCUGGGAUGCCGGUGGAUACUGUCGGGCUCGAGUCCGGAAGAGGAGUGUGGAAUUCCUGGUGUAGCGGUGAAAUGCGCAGAUAUCAAGAGGAACACCAAUGGCGAAGGCAGCACUCUGGGACGUGACUGACGCUGAGACGCGAAAGCGUGGGGAGCAAACAGG
This 253-nucleotide ribosomal RNA is filed under the name uncultured bacterium. RNAcentral describes it as "partial 16S ribosomal RNA". It matches the Rfam family "Bacterial small subunit ribosomal RNA", at positions 524 to 776 of the family's 1533-position model. The record is from RNAcentral.